This 50-nucleotide non-coding RNA is filed under the name Trypanosoma brucei brucei. Lineage: Eukaryota; Euglenozoa; Kinetoplastea; Trypanosomatida; Trypanosomatidae. The record is from RNAcentral.
AUAUAUACAAUAACGAUGGUAAGGUAAAGGUAGAAGAGCAUUGAUAUCAU